This 29-nucleotide small RNA is filed under the name Bombyx mori (domestic silkworm). RNAcentral describes it as "ovarian small RNA-35539". The record is from RNAcentral. Lineage: Eukaryota; Metazoa; Arthropoda; Insecta; Lepidoptera; Bombycidae.
UGUAUUGUGAAAGAGCCACUAUAGCGACU